This 637-nucleotide ribosomal RNA is filed under the name Paraburkholderia sp. RNAcentral describes it as "bacterial SSU rRNA". It matches the Rfam family "Bacterial small subunit ribosomal RNA", at positions 119 to 752 of the family's 1533-position model. The record is from RNAcentral. Lineage: Bacteria; Pseudomonadati; Pseudomonadota; Betaproteobacteria; Burkholderiales; Burkholderiaceae.
CGGAACGUGUCCUGUAGUGGGGGAUAGCCCGGCGAAAGCCGGAUUAAUACCGCAUACGCUCUACGGAGGAAAGGGGGGGAUCUUCGGACCUCUCGCUACAGGGGCGGCCGAUGGCAGAUUAGCUAGUUGGUGGGGUAAAGGCCUACCAAGGCGACGAUCUGUAGCUGGUCUGAGAGGACGACCAGCCACACUGGGACUGAGACACGGCCCAGACUCCUACGGGAGGCAGCAGUGGGGAAUUUUGGACAAUGGGGGCAACCCUGAUCCAGCAAUGCCGCGUGUGUGAAGAAGGCCUUCGGGUUGUAAAGCACUUUUGUCCGGAAAGAAAUCAUUCCUGUUAAUACCGGGGGUGGAUGACGGUACCGGAAGAAUAAGCACCGGCUAACUACGUGCCAGCAGCCGCGGUAAUACGUAGGGUGCAAGCGUUAAUCGGAAUUACUGGGCGUAAAGCGUGCGCAGGCGGUUCGCUAAGACAGAUGUGAAAUCCCCGGGCUUAACCUGGGAACUGCAUUUGUGACUGGCGGGCUAGAGUAUGGCAGAGGGGGGUAGAAUUCCACGUGUAGCAGUGAAAUGCGUAGAGAUGUGGAGGAAUACCGAUGGCGAAGGCAGCCCCCUGGGCCAAUACUGACGCUCAUGC